UGUCAGUUAUCACUUGAUGCUCCUUGAGGAAAUGGCUAAGGAGAUUAGAUGUCACUCUCCCCAGUCAGCCCCACUAGAGGAAGGUUUCUAUGCCCCUUCCUCAGAGAGGAUUAGUGGAAGGCCUUGAUCAGGGCCUUACCACUGAGGGAAUGGUCUUAGGCAGGAGACCUGUUCCCAGUUUCUUGAAGCACUUUUCCUACUAUGAUUAAAAGAUCAAUACAGAAAUCUGACUGCUAUUGAGGGAUUUAUUAAUAGUGUUAGGUAAAUUGGUUGAGGACAGAGGGUGUGGAUAGCCCUGUCAAAUUUCUAAGUGGUCCGUGGUCCAAUGGGCCUGUAACAGUGCCCACAGAUGUCUCCGCCCCUUCCCAGCUAAAUAGCCCCUUCUAUUGAUUAAAAUGCUAGUUUGUCCUGAAGAAAUGAGUAAUAAAUAGUUCAAGGUGGCAGGGACAGUCAAGGGAAGUGUGUCCUGUUUUGAGAGUCCAAGCAGACCCCUCUAAGGGGACUGAAAUGUCUUUCUUCAGAAAGAGAGAAGCAGUAGUUGUUUAUUUGAUGAGAGAUCAGUAACAAGCUUGGAGAAAGAAGCAAGGUCCUCUCGGGUGGCUUCAGUAAAUCCUUCAGCCUCCCAAAACUGGACUUCCCAGCUCCAGGUCCCAAGGUAGAAGACCAAGAGGAUCCUCAGAAUCUCCUCAGAACUGUGUCUGGACCUCAGGAGAUCAAAGUUCUGAUACUCAGACUUCUCUGUAUGGGGUUCAGGGAGGUUCCAUCCUGUUUCAGUUGAACACAAGCUUAGGAAAAAUGAUCCAAAGGGUCGAUUGGAGCCUUGACUCUAAGAAAAAACAUCUGCCUCUGUUCAGCCUCGAGCCUGAGACUGGGAAUCUAACUUUGAAGAAGAGUCUCCUCUGGAACAGAUAUGAGCAAAGAGCUCAUGUAACACCAACAUCCCUGAGAAUUGACAACCUCAUUCUUGAGGAUAAUGGAAACUUCAAAGUCCGAAUACAUCAUGAUGAAGUAAUCAGUGAACAAAGUUUCUUUCUCUCUAUUUAUGAACCGAUUCUCCCCAAGAUCAAGAUAAUCUCAAAGUCCCAGACAUCAGAUGGAUGCAACCUCACCUUGGAGUGCCAGAUCCUGAAGAUCUCAAAUGAUACAACUGUAACCUGGGGAAGUGGAGAUAUCCCCAAGAGGCAGGAGGAGAGCCUAGGGCUGCCCUCCAAUUCUAGGAUACUGAAUCUGUCCCUACCACCGAACCUCCAGAAUUCCUCUGUCACUUGCUUGGCUAAGAACCCUGCAGAGCAACAAAAGUCGACAUUAAAACUAAGUGAUGCCUGUCCUGAGAAGUCUUCAAAUCCCCAAACCCCAAAGUCACCAUGGUUCAUUGGAAGUUUCCUUCUGGUCAUAUUGCUGGUGAUCCUGGGGAUUGGAUUGUCGAUCGACAGAAGAAAAGAAAGGAAGAAAGAAGUUAUGGAUUCUCCAGAGAAUAAGAGAAAUAGUGACAUGAACAUCCAAGAUGCAGUGCUCAGACCAAGUAGACCUGAAGACCAGAACCAGGUGAUUGGGAGUUGGGAACCUCUCAGGGCUCUCUGUAGUCCUCUCAUCCUCUAGUUCUGCCCUGUUGCCCUUUUCUAUUUACUGAUGCAAAAGAUGUCAGGAUGCUGUAAUAGGAGACCAGAAACUCAGUUCAUUCCUAGCUGUGUGAUUUUAGAGCAAGUCAAUGCAAUGGAAGAUUUCUUCCAAAGUCAAUCAAAUUCAGUUACCAUCUUAUGAUCUCUGAUAUUGUUGGCACCAUCCUAGGUGCUGUGUGUUUCUCUAGUACCUGCUAGAGACUUGGUUCUGUGCCUCUCCCUAAAUCUCCAUUUCUACCCUCCCCCCACCUAAGUCCUACUAUCUCUGCUAUCUUCUAGUGCCAAGAGGCUAGUGAGCAGCACCCACAGGAGGGGAAGCAUCUCACCACCAUUUACAGUGAGAUCCAUAAUCCUCAGAUCAUGCUCAGGUAAUGGGGAUAUAGUUGGGGAGAUUCUGAGGGUUUAAGCUAGGAUAGGAUAUAAAAUGGGAGCUCAGGGUCCCCAAUAUGCAAGCCUAUAACCUUUCUUCCAAUAUGUCAAUGUAUUUGAAAGCUUCUUCCCUACCUCUCUGUCUCCCCAAGAUCUUGUCAUUGACAUGUGGCUUGACCACAAAACAUCUUUCUGAUUUGAAGAUCUUCUUAGUUUGUGAAGAGAAGAAACCAACUCAAGAUGUACUCUUGAAGGGGGGGGGGAGGGCAUGGAGUUUUUCAUGCCUGAUUAUACUGGGAGUUUGGGGAGUCCUCUUGAAGAGAAUGAAGAGGGAUAAAAGGAGAAAUAGUGAUUGUCCCACAUGGUGGUGUGAACUAGGUGGCAGCUAUAACCUGUCAUCUAUAAUUGUUUUCAUUAGGACAGGAGAAGUGACCAUCAUCUAAAUAGUUAAGGUAGGAGGUAUAUGUGACUGGGUGUGCUUUAUUGAGGUGCUUGCUCCAAAAGCAGGAACACAGAGAGAAACAAGAUAGGUAAGAGAGGAACAAAAAAUGUGCCUUACCUUGUUCUAGUUGAAUUUCUGUAAUGAAAGAAUCCUCAGAUUCCCCCUGGAUACAAGUGUAGACAUUUCCUGUCUGACUGACCCACAGCCCCUGAUGCCUGUACUUGCCCAAUCAUGUAAUCCAUUGUGUUUGUGUUUGUAACCCAUGGAUACUUGUAGAAACCCCUGAUUGUGUAUGUGUAUAAAAUAGCCAGAGCCUCUGGCUUUGGGUCCCAGACUUGAGGAAUGAUCCUGUCUGGGACUGUGUGUAAUCAAUCUCCUCCUUAGUCUGAGUGAUGUUGUGGUUUCCUCUUGCCUGGCCAAGCAGAAAAUUCCAUAGUUAAAAUUAUUUUGUUAAAUGCAGUUGCAAAAGACAUCUAUUGGAUAACAUGCCACACUUGGAGUUGGGAAACCUGUCUUCACAUUAGACACUUUCUAGUUGGUGUCCCUAGAUAAGUCACUUAACUCUGAUUACAGACCUUGUUGCUCUUCUUUCUAUCUUAGAAUUGAUCCUAAGAAAUACAUUAGGCAGAUUUAAGAUGAUUUCUCAUAAGCAUCUGUGGUUGACCCUAUCUUUAUACUCCUGGGUGUCCUUUUGUUUGUGGUAUGAGGGUACAAUAGGAGCCAUUUGGAGAGAGGAAUCUUUCUUAGCAUCGAGCUAGCUGUUCUGCCCCCAGUCCAUUGAAUUUUGUGCUCUAAUUGGGGGUAUAGAAUGAGCCAUUUUGUAACUAUCCUAUAGAGUUCAGAAUCCAUUUGAAUUCAGAUCCUAUUUCCAUAAACCUACCUCUUAGAUGUGAGUCAGAUUUCAUGCCAAAUAACGUGUGUGUAUGUGUGUGUGUGUGUGUGUGUGUGUGUGUUGUUUUUGCUCAGAUAUGUCCAUCUGGGUCUAUCUAGAGGGGCUUGCAGGGGGUUGAGAAUAGACAUUGCUAUUGUCUCUUCCCCUCCUGCAUCUCUAAGAGAUGAUUCCUGCCAGGAGAGGAAGAGGAAGAGAGAAGAAGAUUGGGGCUAGAAAAUGGUCGCCCUGUUUUCCUCAGAGAAAGGAAUACUACACUAGAAUUCUAUUUAUUGAUUCAUUCUGUUAAACUUUACCAGUUUAUAGAAAACAGUUUUUAGGUUUGAUAUAAAUUCCCAAUUGCUAUUCCUUAAUGGAGGAGUACCUCAACUCUGUACCCAAGACUUGACCCUCUUGCCACCACAUCCAAGCUCCUCAAUGAACAAACAAUAAAUAAACCCCUUAUUCCA
Monodelphis domestica (gray short-tailed opossum) is the source of this 3768-nucleotide long non-coding RNA. The record is from Ensembl. Lineage: Eukaryota; Metazoa; Chordata; Mammalia; Didelphimorphia; Didelphidae.